This 328-nucleotide ribosomal RNA is filed under the name uncultured eukaryote. RNAcentral describes it as "partial 18S ribosomal RNA". It matches the Rfam family "Eukaryotic small subunit ribosomal RNA", at positions 1470 to 1796 of the family's 1831-position model. The record is from RNAcentral.
CCCUUAGAUGUCCUGGGCCGCACGCGCGUUACACUGAUGCAUUCAACGAGCUUAUAACCUUGGCCGAGAGGCCUGGGCAAUCUUGUUAACGUGCAUCGUGAUAGGGAUAGAUUAUUGAAAUUAUUAAUCUUGAACGAGGAAUUCCUAGUAAACGCAGAUCAUCAAUCUGCAUUGAUUACGUCCCUGCCCUUUGUACACACCGCCCGUCGCACCUACCGAUUGGAUGGUCCGGUGAAGCCUCGGGAUUGUGGUUCUUGCCGCUUUAUUGUAGCGUGACCGCGAGAACUUGUCUAAACCUUAUCGUCUAGAGGAAGGUGAAGUCGUAACA